UGUGGGAGCUGGCUUGCCUGCGAUUGCGCAGUGUCAGGCGACAUUUGUAAACCUGACCCACUGCCAUCGCAGGCAAGCCAGCUCCCACA
This 89-nucleotide non-coding RNA is filed under the name Pseudomonas tolaasii NCPPB 2192. The record is from RNAcentral. Lineage: Bacteria; Pseudomonadati; Pseudomonadota; Gammaproteobacteria; Pseudomonadales; Pseudomonadaceae.